Daphnia carinata is the source of this 842-nucleotide long non-coding RNA. RefSeq lists it as uncharacterized. The record is from RefSeq and is a predicted model, not a curated record. The transcript has 4 exons. Lineage: Eukaryota; Metazoa; Arthropoda; Branchiopoda; Diplostraca; Daphniidae.
UCUGAAUUUAAUCAUAUUAUUUCAUGUCAUCCAUACAUCCAGAAUGAUGAGUUGUCACCUUCACAGCUGUGUUCAGCAUCUUUGCAUACCUCCGCUUCAUUGGGUUUGUAAUGGGGAUAAUCAAAUCUGUGGUUUAGAUGGAUGUCUAGGAGACAGUAGGGAUUUUCCUCAUUUCCCUUUGCUCGUUUGCGUGGCAUGUUAGGCUGGUAAAGCCAAUCGAACUUGGCACCAUGCUGUCUACACUUUCCUUUCUUUUUCUUCAUUUGUGCACUACACCUCCACCCCAGUGGCAGGCAGACGUGGCCAGACUUGAUUUUUCGUUAGAAAGAUCAUCAUUGUGCUCAUUGUGCUUUCGAUUGUUGAUGUGACUCGAUGUGUUCGUGUACACCUCCGCUAUUAAAAUAUGUUUGUGUGAAUCGCAGGUGAAGCCAUGCUGGAUGGACGCUCGGAUGCAAGAUAAUCUUUGCGUUUGUUCCACCCGCUGGAAUAUGCGGCGAAUGGUUGACUCUUGUUGUUUCCUUGGUUUUCAUUGGUAAUGUGACUGCCAUCUUUGGAGAUUUGGCCGGCAUUUUUUCGGUGUGUCGUCGGACUCGAUGACGCCGUUACUGCCAUUAGAUUUGUGACGUUGGGGAUAUCCCUGCCGGUUCUGUUCGCAAGUCGUGCUGCUGCGAUUAACGAAAAAUAUGCUGACAACGCUAUUGGAAACGUGACUGGAAGUAAUUCGGUCAACGUCUUCCUUACUAAAUAAUUCUCUAUUUUAUAUCUUCCAGAUUUCCAUGCUAAUAUUAAAUGUGACGGAGUUGCGCUUCUAAGGUUCCUUAUUACGUUUGCAUAACAAUGAA